GCUGGAUGUGGUGGUGCACACCUAUAAUCCCAGUAGCUCGGGAGGCUGAGGCAGGAGGAUAGCAGGUUCGAAGCCAGCCUCAGCAACAGCAAGGUGCUAAGCAACUCAGUGAGACCCUGUCUCUA
Molecule: small RNA, 125 nt
Filed under: Marmota monax (woodchuck)
Lineage: Eukaryota; Metazoa; Chordata; Mammalia; Rodentia; Sciuridae
Source: RNAcentral